Molecule: ribosomal RNA, 372 nt
Filed under: uncultured bacterium
Lineage: Bacteria
Description: bacterial SSU rRNA
Rfam family: Bacterial small subunit ribosomal RNA
Source: RNAcentral
UACGGAGGGUGCAAGCGUUAUCCGGAAUUACUGGGUUUAAAGGGUGCGUAGGCGGCGUUGUAAGUCAGAGGUGAAAGGUUUCGGCUUAACCGGAGAAUUGCCUUUGAUACUGCAGUGCUAGGAUUGGGUUGAGGUUGGCGGAAUGUGACAUGUAGCGGUGAAAUGCAUAGAUAUGUCAUAGAACACCGAUUGCGAAGGCAGCUGACUGGACCUUGAUUGACGCUGAGGCACGAAAGCGUGGGGAGCAAACAGGAUUAGAUACCCUGGUAGUCCACGCCCUAAACGAUGCUAACUCGAUGUGUGGCCUUCGGGCUGCGCGUCCAAGCGAAAGCGAUAAGUUAGCCACCUGGGGAGUACGUCCGCAAGGAUGAA